Molecule: ribosomal RNA, 115 nt
Filed under: Sphenodon punctatus (tuatara)
Lineage: Eukaryota; Metazoa; Chordata; Lepidosauria; Sphenodontia; Sphenodontidae
Source: RNAcentral
UUCUGCAGCCACACUGCCUUGCACUGCAUUCCCAUCAGAUCUCAAAAGAUAAACAGGGUUGGGCUGGGUCAGCGUGUGGUUGGGACGCUUGAAAAAUACCAAGAUGUUUUGAAAA